UACGUAGGGGGCAAGCGUUGUCCGGAUUUAUUGGGCGUAAAGAGCUCGUAGGCGGCGUGGUAAGUCAGCUGUGAAAUCUCCGAGCUUAACUCGGAACGGUCAGCUGAUACUGCUGUGCUAGAGUACAGAAGGGGCAAUCGGAAUUCUUGGUGUAGCGGUGAAAUGCGUAGAUAUCAAGAGGAACACCUGAGGUGAAGACGGGUUGCUGGGCUGAUACUGACGCUGAGGCGCGAAAGCUAGGGUAGCAAACGGG
This 253-nucleotide ribosomal RNA is filed under the name uncultured bacterium. RNAcentral describes it as "partial 16S ribosomal RNA". It matches the Rfam family "Bacterial small subunit ribosomal RNA", at positions 524 to 776 of the family's 1533-position model. The record is from RNAcentral.